Molecule: ribosomal RNA, 523 nt
Filed under: uncultured bacterium
Lineage: Bacteria
Description: partial 16S ribosomal RNA
Rfam family: Bacterial small subunit ribosomal RNA
Source: RNAcentral
GACGAACGCUGGCGGCGUGCCUAAUACAUGCAAGUCGAACGCUUUUUCUUUCACCGGAGCUUGCUCCACCGAAAGAAAAAGAGUGGCGAACGGGUGAGUAACACGUGGGUAACCUGCCCAUCAGAAGGGGAUAACACUUGGAAACAGGUGCUAAUACCGUAUAACACUAUUUUCCGCAUGGAAGAAAGUUGAAAGGCGCUUUUGCGUCACUGAUGGAUGGACCCGCGGUGCAUUAGCUAGUUGGUGAGGUAACGGCUCACCAAGGCAACGAUGCAUAGACGACCUGAGAGGGUGAUCGGCCACACUGGAACUGAGACACGGCCCAGACUCCUACGGGAGGCAGCAGUAGGGAAUCUUCGGCAAUGGACGGAAGUCUGACCGAGCAACGCCGCGUGAGUGAAGAAGGUUUUCGGAUCGUAAAACUCUGUUGUUAGAGAAGAACAAGGAUGAGAGUAAAAUGUUCAUCCCUUGACGGUAUCUAACCAGAAAGCCACGGCUAACUACGUGCCAGCAGCCGCGGUAA